GCCACUGUGUCACCGUCACUGUGUCACCGUCACUGUCACUGCCACUGUGUCACCGUCACUGUGUCACCGUCACUGUGUCACUGUCACUGUCACUGUGUCACUGUCACUGCGUCACUGCCACUGUCACCAUCACCGUGUCACUGUCACUGUGUCACUGCCACUGUCACUGUCACUGUGUCACCGCCACUGUGUCACUGACACUGUGUCACCAUCACUGUGUCACUGUCACUGCAUCACCAUCACUGUGUCACCAUCACUGUGUCACCGUGUCACCGUCACUGUCACUGCCACUGUGUCACUGCCACUGUGUCACUGUCAGUGUCACCGUCGCUGCGUCACCGUCACUGUGUCACCAUCACUGUGUCACUGUCAGUGUCACCGUCGCUGCGUCACCGUCACUGUCACCAUCACUGUGUCACCACCACUGUCACUGCCACUGUGUCACUGUCAGUGUCACCGUCACUGCAUCACCAUCACUGCGUCACCGCCACUGUCACUGUCACUGUGUCACUGCCACUGUGUCACCGCCACUGUGCCACUGCCACUGUCAGUCACUGUGUCACCAUCACUGUGUCACUAUCACUGCGUCACCGUCACUGCAUCACCAUCACUGUCACCGUCGCUGUGUCACCGUCGCUGUGUCACCAUCACUGUCACUGUGUCACUGUCACUGUGUCACUGUCACUGUGUCAACUCUGCCCCCUAGAGCCCUCUCGUCCCAUUGCACCUCGGCUGGACCCUAAGGACUGCCACCACGUCCUGUGUCACUGUGUCACGACGUCAUUGUGUCACCAUGUCACCGUGUCACCGUGUCACUAAGUCACCGUGUCACUGUGUCACUGUGCCACUGCGUCACCGUGCCACUGCAUCACCAUGUCACUGUGUCACCAAGUAAUCAUGUCACUGCAUCACUGUGUCACCAUGUCACCAAGUCACAGUGUCACUGUGUCACCAAGU
RNAcentral lists this long non-coding RNA (957 nucleotides) under Numida meleagris (helmeted guineafowl). RNAcentral describes it as "lncRNA (ENSNMEG00000006329.1)". Lineage: Eukaryota; Metazoa; Chordata; Aves; Galliformes; Numididae. The record is from RNAcentral.